UGGCUCAGAUUGAACGCUGGCGGCAGGCCUAACACAUGCAAGUCGAGCGGUAGCACAAGAAAGCUUGCUCUCUGGGUGACGAGCGGCGGACGGGUGAGUAAUGUCUGGGAAACUGCCUGAUGGCGGGGGAUAACUAGUGGAAACGGUAGCUAAUACCGCAUAACGUCGCAAGACCAAAGUGGGGGACCUUCGGGCCUCACGCCAUCAGAUGUGCCCAGGUGGGAUUAGCUGGUAGGUGGGGUAACGGCUCACCUAGGCGACGAUCCCUAGCUGGUCUGAGAGGAUGACCAGCCACACUGGAACUGAGACACGGUCCAGACUCCUACGGGAGGCAGCAGUGGGGAAUAUUGCACAAUGGGCGCAAGCCUGAUGCAGCCAUGCCGCGUGUGUGAAGAAGGCCUUCGGGUUGUAAAGCACUUUCAGCGAGGAGGAAGGGUAAUGUGUUAAU
Molecule: ribosomal RNA, 448 nt
Filed under: Serratia symbiotica
Lineage: Bacteria; Pseudomonadati; Pseudomonadota; Gammaproteobacteria; Enterobacterales; Yersiniaceae
Description: bacterial SSU rRNA
Rfam family: Bacterial small subunit ribosomal RNA
Source: RNAcentral